UGAGGAAUAUUGGUCAAUGGACGGAAGUCUGAACCAGCCAAGUAGCGUGCAGGAUGACGGCCCUAUGGGUUGUAAACUGCUUUUAUAUGGGAAUAAAGUGAGGGACGUGUCCCUUAUUGCAUGUACCAUAUGAAUAAGGACCGGCUAAUUCCGUGCCAGCAGCCGCGGUAAUACGGAAGGUCCAGGCGUUAUCCGGAUUUAUUGGGUUUAAAGGGAGCGUAGGCCGUUUGGUAAGCGUGUUGUGAAAUGUAGGAGCUCAACUUCUAGAUUGCAGCGCGAACUGUCAGACUUGAGUGCGCACAACGUAGGCGGAAUUCAUGGUGUAGCGGUGAAAUGCUUAGAUAUCAUGAAGAACUCCGAUUGCGAAGGCAGCUUACGGGAGCGCAACUGACGCUGAAGCUCGAAGGUGCGGGUAUCGAACAGG
RNAcentral lists this ribosomal RNA (424 nucleotides) under Verrucomicrobiota bacterium. RNAcentral describes it as "Verrucomicrobia bacterium partial 16S ribosomal RNA". It matches the Rfam family "Bacterial small subunit ribosomal RNA", at positions 355 to 776 of the family's 1533-position model. Lineage: Bacteria; Pseudomonadati; Verrucomicrobiota. The record is from RNAcentral.